AGAGUUUGAUCAUGGCUCAGAUUGAACGCUGGCGGCAUGCCUUACACAUGCAAGUCGAACGGCAGCGCGGGAGCAAUCCUGGCGGCGAGUGGCGAACGGGUGAGUAAUAUAUCGGAACGUGCCCUGUAGCGGGGGAUAACCUAUCGAAAGAUGGACUAAUACCGCAUACGCUCUACGGAGGAAAGCGGGGGUCGCAAGACCUCGCACUAUAGGAGCGGCCGAUAUCGGAUUAGCUAGUUGGCGGGGUAAAAGCCCACCAAGGCGACGAUCCGUAGCUGGUCUGAGAGGAUGAUCAGCCACACUGGAACUGAGACACGGUCCAGACUCCUACGGGAGGCAGCAGUGGGGAAUUUUGGACAAUGGGCGCAAGCCUGAUCCAGCCAUGCCGCGUGAGUGAAGAAGGCCUUCGGGUUGUAAAGCUCUUUCGGCAGGAACGAAAUGGUUCGUGCUAAUACCACGGACUGAUGACGGUACCUGAAGAAGAAGCACCGGCUAACUACGUGCCAGCAGCCGCGGUAAUACGUAGGGUGCAGGCGUUAAUCGGAAUUACUGGGCGUAAAGCGUGCGCAGGCGGUUUCUUAAGUCAGAUGUGAAAGCCCCGGGCUUAACCUGGGAACUGCGUUUGAAACUGGGGAGACUUGAGUGUGGCAGAGGGGGGUGGAAUUCCACGUAGCAGUGAAAUGCGUAGAUAUGUGGAGGAACACCGAUGGCGAAGGCAGCCCCCUGGGUUAACACUGACGCUCAUGCACGAAAGCGUGGGGAGCAAACAGGAUUAGAUACCCUAGUAGUCC
RNAcentral lists this ribosomal RNA (791 nucleotides) under uncultured bacterium. RNAcentral describes it as "bacterial SSU rRNA". It matches the Rfam family "Bacterial small subunit ribosomal RNA", at positions 8 to 796 of the family's 1533-position model. The record is from RNAcentral.